Malaclemys terrapin pileata is the source of this 2802-nucleotide long non-coding RNA. RefSeq lists it as uncharacterized. The transcript is spliced from 4 exons. NCBI's taxonomy places the organism in Eukaryota, Metazoa, Chordata, Testudines, Emydidae. The record is from RefSeq and is a predicted model, not a curated record.
UUUGCUGAAUUGUUUAGAAGGUGUCAGAGUAACAGGCUUCUAAAAACUGUAACGGCACAACUUGCAUAUAGGUAAUUAGAGAUGCCAGAGGGAUUCAGAUACAUUGGUUAUGUUCAUAGACUCAUAGACUUUAAGGUCAGAAGGGACCAUUAUGAUCAUCUAGUCUGACCUCCCGCGUGAUGCAGGCCACAAAAGCUGACCCAACCCCUUUCCCUUGACUCUGUUGUUGAAGUCCCCAAAUUCUGUGAUUUAAAGACUUCAAGUCGCAGAGAAUCCUCCAGCUAGGGAACCCCGCCCAUGCUGUGGAGGAAGGCGAAAAACCUCCAGGACGUCUGCCAAUCCACCCUGGAGGAAAAUUCCUUCCCAACCCCAAAUAUGGCGAUCAGUAGAACCCCGAGCAUGCAGGCAAGAUUCUCCAGCCAGACCCUCAUUGGCCAUUGAUACUAUAUACCAGCGAUGGCACGCUGUUAAUUUGACUAAAAUAACGUUAUCCCAUUAAACCAUUCCCUCCAUAAACUUAUCUAGCUUAAUCUUAAAGCCAGACAGGUCCUUCGCCCCCACCAUUUCCCUCGGAAGACUGUUCCAAUAUUUCACCCCUCUGACGGUCAGAAACCUUAGUCUAAUUUCAAGCCUAAACUUCCCCACGGCCAGUUUAUAUCCAUUCGUUCUCGUGUCCACAUUAGUACUGAGCUGAAAUAAUUCCUCUCCCUCCCUGGUAUUUAUCCCUCUGAUAUAUUUAAAGAGAGCAAUUGUAUCUCCCCUCAGCCUUCUUUUGGUCAGGCUAAACAAACCGAGCUCCUCGAGUCUCCUUUCAUACGACAGGUUUUCCAUUCCUCUGAUCAUCCUAGUGGCCCUUUUCUGUACCCGUUCCAGUUUGAGUUCAUCCUUUUUAAACAUGGGAGACCAGAACUGCACACAGUACUCCAAAUGAGGUCUCACCAGCGCCUUGUACAACGGAAGCAGCACCUCCUUAUCCCUACUAGAUAUACCUCACCUAAUGCAUCCCAAGACCACAUUGGGUUUUUUCACCGCUACGUCACAUUGCCGACUCAUAGUCGUCCCUCUGUCUACCAGAACUCUGAGGUCUUUCUCUUCCUCUGUUACUUCCCACCGAUGCGUCCCCAGUUUGUAACGAAAUUUCUUGUUAGUCAUCCCUAAAUGCAUCACCUUACACUUUUCACUAUUAAAUUUCAUCCUAUUUCUGUUACUCCAAUUUACAAGGUCAUUCAAGUCUCCCUGCCGAAUAUCCCGAUCUUCCUCCGUAUUGGCAAUACCUCCCAACUUUGUGUCAUCCGCAAACUUUAUCAGCCCACUCCUACAUUUGGUUCCGAGGUCAGUAAUAAAUAGAUUAAAUAAAAUGGGACCCAAAACCGAACCUUGAGGAACUCCACUGGUGACCUCCCUCUAACCUGACAGUUCACCUUUCAGUACGACUGGUGAAGUCUCCCCAAUAACCAGUUCCUUAUCCACCUUUGGAUUUUCAUAUUGAUCCCCAUCUUUUCCAAUUUAACCAAUAAUUCCUCGUGCGGUACCAUAUCAAACGCUUUACUGAAAUAGAGGUAUAUUAGGUCCACCACAUUUCCCUUAUCUAAUAAGUCUGUUACUUUCUCAAAGAAGGAGAUCAGAUUGGUUUGGCACGAUCUGCCUUUGGUAAAACCAUGUUGUAAUUUGUCGCAAUUGCCAUUGACCUCAAGGUCCUCAACUUCUUUCUCCUUCAAAAUUUUCUCCAGGACCUUGCACACUACAGAUGUUAAACUGACAGGCCUGUGGUUACCUGGGUCACUUUUUUUCCCUUUCUUGAAAAUAGGAACCACAUUAGCUAUUCUCCAGUCCAAUGGUAUCACCCCCAAGUUUAGAUUCAUUAAAAAUUUUCGCUAAGGGGCCUGCUAUUUCUCACGCCAGUUCCUUCAAUGUUCUCGGAUGAAGAUCAUCUGGUCUGCCUGACUUAGUCCCGUUAAGGUGUUCAAGUUUGGCUUCUACCUCGGAUACGGUAAUCCCUCCUCCUUUAUUCCCCUCUGUCACACUGCCACUAUUCCUAAUCCCUUCAUUUGCCUCAUUAAAGACCGAUGCAAAAUAUUAGUUUAGAUAUUGUGCCAUGCCUAGAUUAUCCUUAAUCUCCACUCCAGCUACAGUCUUCAGCGGUCCCACUUCUUGUUUUCUUCCUAUUUAUAUGGCUAUAAAACCUCUUACUAUUGGUUUUAAUUCCCCUUGCAAGGUCCAACUCUACACGGCUUUUGGCCUCUCUCACUCCAUCUCUACAUGCUCUGGCCUCAAUAAGGUGAUCAGAAUCUUUUAACCAGCAGUGUGUGUUUGGGGCUGUGGAUGUGCCCUGUAUGUCUUCACACCACCCCUCUUGAGGGUGCAGCAUCCCCAUCUGCAUAUAGAACAUCUUGAAGAACCUCAGUUACUUUAAGCUCUUCUCUUCCAAUUUAUUACCAUCGUUCCUGAAUUGUGGACACAGCUGCACCAGUGCUAAUGAGGUAAUACAAGGUUCCUACUCCUGCCUGUAGAUCCAAGGAUUGCAUAAGAUUUUUUUGGCUACGGCAGUGUUCAUGUUCAUCUGAAUAUCCACAAAACUCUUGAGUCACUGCAUCCCAGGAUCAAGUCCCCCAUUGUGAGAUGUUCAAAUUAGGUGACGCAUAUGGCAAAGGGACCCAUGAAAUGGAUGUUAAAAUAAACUGCAUUGAUGCCUAUUGCGGUCCUUCUGCAAUCAAUAUCCAGUACCAGAGAGGAAGCUCAAUUUAGAGGAGGACAGAGGAAGAACAAGUCUUAGUCACAAUAAAACCAAAUCUUUUUACAUAA